UUAGGCCUAUAGGGAUAUGCCUGAUUGUAAUGAAUAAACUGUAAUAAACAUUUAGACACAACUGCUAAUAAUUUAGCUUUGUUUCUGUUUCCUUCCCCCCCCCCCCCCCACCCCCGCAUUUUACUUCUGUUGACAUAGUUCUAAUUUACACUCAACAAUAUAUAGCAAGGACGCAAAACCCUAACACCAUAUUCUGUUCCCUGGUGAAUAGUUAAAAUGUUAAACUUAAUGUAUUUAUUCAAUGAAUGCAGCGCCUAAAGACAGUGUGGAAAACCUUUUCCCAGAUACCCUCUCCCCACACAAAAGAGAUUGGACCAUAGCGUUCUGAGCAAAGUAUAAGCAUGAAAGCUGCGCUUCACAAAGAGCUGUCUUAUAUACCUUCUUAUCUUAUCUUAUAAAAUACAGACGUUGCUUCAGGAAAGAUGAUUCCGUCAUAGCGUCAUGCAUUUAAUCAUGCAUAUUAACCAAUGACUUAAAUUCUGUCAAGUCAUUGGUUUUCCUGACUGGUUCAGGCAACCCAUUCCAUGCUAUAAAAGCACUCGAGAAGAAGGAGCAUUUGUAAAAAGUUGUCCUAGCAUAUGGAACGAGGAAUGUGCCUUUCUCUCUUUGUGUCUUACUGGUUUUUUGUAUUAGCCUUUGUCUUUGUUUCUUUCUGAGUAUUUUGUUAGAUAUAAAAUCGAUAUGAAGCAUUAAGAACUAAGUGGGAACAUUGGAUGAAGUAAAAGAAGGAGUAGGCCUACUUGAAGACACCGUAGACUACUGGCAAAAUCACAUAAUGCAGGGGCGUAGCUAAGAAUUUUCCAUCGUUUGGGGUCCCGGGGUUUGACCUCUUUGGAGGCCCCUGCUUUUCGCGUAAUAUUUAAUUUUUUAUGUAAAAAGUGCUCAUUUGGGGGCCACCCUCAAGUGGGGGCUGGGGGAUUUUCAAAUUCUUCCCUUUCCUACCCCCACCCUAGCUACGCCACUGACAUAAUGAAUGUGUUAUGAACAUAAAGAUAAGAGAGUCGAAAACCAUGUCUACAUUAUAUGGCUUUAAUACACCAACCUACGGUGAUGGACAAUUGUUGAUAUAGAUACAUCUCUGGGAACAUGACUUAAAAGUGUUUGAAUAUUUAAGCAUUAAGUAAACGAUGUUUGAUACAAUGGUCAUACUAAUUAACGAUAUAGUCCACUCUUUGUUGCAAACCACGUGACAUAUGUCAUCUUUUGUACACAUCGCUUGCCAUG
This is a non-coding RNA of Biomphalaria pfeifferi, 1224 nucleotides long. The record is from the annotation of a GenBank genome assembly. Lineage: Eukaryota; Metazoa; Mollusca; Gastropoda; Planorbidae.